AGGAAAUUCAAGAAGGGCUGUGAAAAAGGCCCUGUCAGGUGAGUGACACCAUGUGCCCCAGCAUGAGGGAAGGCAUCUGCAGCCAGCCCAGCUUGAUGUGCACUGCCUACGCUUUUGAUCCUCUGGUCAGCGAGCUCCUCACUACCUUCUAUUGUGACUGCAAUAACGUGAGUCAGGCUUGAGUCCUAACUGGUGGAGACUGUGUGAAGCUGGCUAUGGCUGAGGAAAUCUACAGGUUGAUUCCUUUUCCUUGGUGGUCAGCUUUCAGGGUGCCUAGAUGGAUCUCAGGGAUGGUUCUAGAAGUUGAUGAAAAGGAUUCCAGAGAAACAGCACAUAUGAAACACCCCUAAAUAUUUCUGAAAAACUAACACAAAAGCACAUUGGGAUUUAACAAAAUAUAAAGGAAGAGGAAUUUCAAGUGAGUGGGACAGAGUAUUCCAUCAGUUGUGAUAGGUACACAUGGUGCUGUGAGUCCAUAAUUUCUCUGGAAGGAUGGACCCAAGUGGUCGAUGUAGAUGUGCCUGAGAGAGCAGGGAAGACUAUAGCCAUGAAGUUGGUAGGUGGAGAAUGGUGCCUUUUCAUGAAAUACAUUUUCAUAUCUUUCUGAUUCUUCUGUCACAUGAAUCUAUGAUUUUCAAAGUCAGAAAGUUGAAGUUAAGGUCCCAGCUCCCCGAUUGCUGGCUCUGUUGCCUACUCUCUGAAUGGGGUGAAAUUUAACCUGGUGCGACAGGACACCAGGAGAGAAGCUCACAGGAAAUGCGACUUAACAUUUCCUAGAGAAAACCAUCCAACUGUCUACCACUUAAUGGACAAGUGGAGAAAGAAACACGUUCUACCCAUACAACAUGAUAGAAUGCAGUCAUAAGAAGUUGUGAAGUACUCUCACACUCUGCUGCGUGGUUAAAGCUUGACAACAGUCUGCUGAGUGAAAGACUCCACACCUAACAGGCAGACGCCCGAAGCUGGUUCUUCUUGUGCCCUGCUUCUGAGGACUGCACACCCAGACCAAGGCUCUCGAGGUCCAUGAGCUGCAGUUUAGCCUCAGGAGCUCCAGUGAUAGCCUCAGAAGCUUUAUGUUUCUUCUUCCUCACCUUAGCUGAAGGAACAUUGGUGAUAGCUGAGUUUUCCUGCACACCAUUCUCAUGAAUGGCAUCAGUGUCUUGGGCUUGGAUGGUUGUGGGCUGGUUGGACUGAUCAAGAUCUUCCAAGGACUGGAGCACCUGGGGAAGUUGAAUGUCCUCUACCAGGGCCCCAAUAUCUGCCCAACCCGGGCUGGACUCAAUCCCCUUGUCAAGGGUCCCUGGGUCCUGGAGAGUCAGGUGGCACUUUCCCAAGAGGGCAUCUUCAGAACCAGGAUUCUCAGGGAUUGGAUGCUCAGUGGAAGCCAGCAGCUCGGGAGAGUCAGGGGAUGCCAAGGAGAGUAAAGGCGGAUCUUGGGUGCCUAUAAAGAUCUUCUGGGCAUCCAGAGGCUCUAAGCUCUCACUUCUCAUCUCAUCCCAGUUCUCCUUCUCUGGUUGCUCCCAGCUUGAAUCCAAGGCCAAGGAAUGAGUGGAAUUCUGCACUGGAGCUCCCACUGAAAUGCCCCCAGACUCAGUUGGUGGGCUUCCCUCAAGCAACUGGGUACUUCUGCUGCUGCAGGACUCUGGGAUUUCUGCAAGUUGUGACACAAACCCUGCCUGGCUCAGGGCUUGCCAUCCCACAUAUGUCUCUGUCUCUGGGGACAUUCCCUUUACUGCAAAUGAAACAAGGAAAAAGUCAGUCUUUCCUAAGGGAGUUGCUCCCCCUUCACACCAGCACAGCCCUCAGGAGCCCACCAAGAGUCAGCAAGGCCUUCCCAUUCCCUCUCCUUAAGGACCAUGGACAGGACCUUGCUUUAUAGCUAGGAGGUAACUGUUCUUCCUGCUUAUCACCUGAUGUCUUUCUUUUUAUGGCUUUCUUUUUAGGUCCUAGGAUUGUUCUUAGUCAAAGGAAACAAAGUGAUUUUUAGAUCAGGAUAUAUUUUGGUACAGUGGUAGAGUAUUGUCUACUAUGCACAAGGCCCUGUGCACUAUAUACCCUCUACACACACACACACACACACACACACACACACACACAGAAGUGCAAGUGCCCACAUAUGUGCACUCUCACAGAUAGAGCUGUUCAGGUGUAGCUUCCUACUCUCAGAUACACUCAGUGCUCUCCUCUCUUGCUGGUAUAAGUACACUUCUUGCCUUGGACUAGGAGAGAUAAGGUCUUACUUAUGCAAAAUGUGAGCAGGACAGGUACUGAGGCACAAGCUUUGGACAGGAUCUCUGAAAUAUAAGGUAUUCCAUCUUGCUGAAAAUGAGGGAAAUGAAACUGUCCUCACCACCUUAAACUUGGAAGUGUCUUCCAAAGGGACCACAGCAAUAGAAGACCAAAGGGAAUUGCUUAUGGAGGGCUGCUAAAGGGGAACUCAUCCUCAAGAGCUCUGAGAAGUGUGGCCUGCCUCAGUGGCCUCCUGGGCUGCUCUUGUGCAGCAGGGAUGGCCACUAUGGUGUCCUGCAUUCCCUACUUACAGAGUCUGGAAGCAGAGCCCAUCUCAGGCCUGAAAUUCUGCCUAUCUCUAUGCUUACCUGUACUCAGCAGGAGAUUCAUCCCUCCUGCAUAGUGGUACCCUGAUCCCUUUUGCUUCUGCUCUCAGUACCCACCUUGGAAACUCGUUUUCAUGUUGGCUUGCACAGAUCCAGAAUAGCAGAUGGCAGGAGAAGCUGAUGUUAUGACAUUUGUAUGCUGAAUCUCCUUCAACACCAUUACUAUCUCUGGCUGAGGGGCAGCUGCCCCACUGCCUGUGUGUGACAGAAACUCAUACGGCUGCAGUCCUCCAAGCUCUGCACAUACCAGAGGCCCCAUUGCACUUUGAUUGUAGUAGUGGUAGCCCUGUCCUUGGUUCGGAAUGUAUGGUGAUGGUGUUGGCUGAACCAGGCUGGCAGCUAUAGAUGGAUAAAUGGGGAUGAUUUACCAUGGGUAUUAGCAUGGGCAGGCAUAGAUGAGGAGACAACUGUUGUGCUCUGGUUAGUGACAGACACCGUAAAGGUCUCCAAUGGUGGAUGCCUGCUUCCAGAGCCUGCCAUGCCAUCCCACUGCCAAAUAUCUGGAUAGGACGCAACCAAAGAGGACAUCUGCCUCUGGCCAGCAGCCCCUGAAAACUUACUUUCACUACAGUGUUGAUAAGUGUAGGAACUGGCUAUGACUGGCUGGAAGUAGUUGACAG
Long non-coding RNA from Heterocephalus glaber (naked mole-rat), 3235 nucleotides. NCBI's taxonomy places the organism in Eukaryota, Metazoa, Chordata, Mammalia, Rodentia, Bathyergidae. The record is from Ensembl.